This 447-nucleotide ribosomal RNA is filed under the name uncultured bacterium. RNAcentral describes it as "SSU rRNA". It matches the Rfam family "Bacterial small subunit ribosomal RNA", at positions 26 to 518 of the family's 1533-position model. The record is from RNAcentral.
AGAGCGAACGCUGGCGGCAGGCUUAACACAUGCAAGUCGAGCGGGCGUAGCAAUACGUCAGCGGCAGACGGGUGAGUAACGCGUGGGAACGUACCUUUGGUUCGGAACAACACAGGGAAACUUGUGCUAAUACCGGAUAAGCCCUUACGGGGAAAGAUUUAUCGCCGAAAGAUCGGCCCGCGUCUGAUUAGCUAGUUGGUGAGGUAACGGCUCACCAAGGCGACGAUCAGUAGCUGGUCUGAGAGGAUGAUCAGCCACAUUGGGACUGAGACACGGCCCAAACUCCUACGGGAGGCAGCAGUGGGGAAUAUUGGACAAUGGGCGCAAGCCUGAUCCAGCCAUGCCGCGUGAGUGAUGAAGGCCCUAGGGUUGUAAAGCUCUUUUGUGCGGGAAGAUAAUGACGGUACCGCAAGAAUAAGCCCGGCUAACUUCGUGCCGAGCAGCCGC